GAUGAAGAACGCAGCGAAAUGCGAUACGUAAUGUGAAUUGCAGAAUUCAGUGAAUCAUCGAAUCUUUGAACGCAUAUUUCGCUCUCUGGUAUUCCGGAGAGCAUGCUUGUUUGAGUAUCAGUAAACACCUCAACUUCCAUAUCUUUUUUGAAAUGGGAGUUGGACUUGAGUGAUCCCAACGCUUUUCCUCACCGAAAAGUGGCGGGUUACUUGAAAUGCAGGUGCAGCUGGACUUUUCUCUGAGCUAUAAGCAUAUCUAUUUAGUCUGCCUAAAAAACAGAUUAUUACCUUUGCUGCAGCUAACAUAAAGGAGAUUAGUUCUUGUGCUGACUGAUGCAGGAUUCACAAAGACAGGCUUCGGCCGACUUUGUAAACUCGAUCUCAAAUCAAGUAAGACUACCCGCUGAACUUAAGCAUAUCAAUAAGCGGAGGA
RNAcentral lists this unclassified non-coding RNA (433 nucleotides) under soil metagenome. Its description in RNAcentral is "partial contains 5.8S ribosomal RNA, internal transcribed spacer 2, and large subunit ribosomal RNA". The stretch from base 1 to 120 matches the Rfam family "5.8S ribosomal RNA", at positions 35 to 154 of the family's 154-position model. The record is from RNAcentral.